CUGCCCUGUGCAACUAAAUUAACGUUUGUUGUAAACGGCGGCGUUAACGUGAGCGUCCUAGGUAGCGCGAUAAUUUGCUUUUUAAUUAAAGGAUGGUAUGAAAGGGUUAACGAAGAAGAUGCUGUGUCUAAGAAUUUAAUUUAAACUAACUUUAAGGUGAAGAGGCCUUUAUGAAAAAGAAGGACGACAAGACCCUAUGAAGCUUUACCUUAAUUGAAGCUUUCAAGCUUUUAUACGGUUUUGAUGGGAGAUCAGUAAAAAUAAAUCCUUUGCUAUAGAGUUUAUCCUACCAGAAUUUCCUAAUUUUAUAUGUGUGAUUAGCUACUCUAGGGAUAACAGCGCAAUUUCUCCCGAAAGAUGGUAUUGGAGGGGAAGAUUGUGACCUCGAUGUUGGCUUUAGGUGUCCUAGAGGCGUAAAAGCUUCUAAGGGUGGGUCUGUUCGCCCUUUAAAAUCUAACAUGAGCUGAGUUCAGAACGGCGUGAGCUAGUUCAGUUUCUAUCCUCUUUUAAAAAUGAGCUAAUUUUGUACGAAAGGACUUUUUUGCUAAAGCAACGCUUUGCCCUGGCUCUUUGAUUUCCUAAAUAAUGCUGCGUAGUAAACUGAUUAGUUUAUAAAAAGGGU
RNAcentral lists this ribosomal RNA (622 nucleotides) under Mytilus trossulus (common blue mussel). RNAcentral describes it as "partial 16S ribosomal RNA". The stretch from base 1 to 525 matches the Rfam family "Bacterial large subunit ribosomal RNA", at positions 1859 to 2925 of the family's 2925-position model. Lineage: Eukaryota; Metazoa; Mollusca; Bivalvia; Mytilida; Mytilidae. The record is from RNAcentral.